Non-coding RNA from Parelaphostrongylus tenuis, 71 nucleotides. The record is from the annotation of a GenBank genome assembly. NCBI's taxonomy places the organism in Eukaryota, Metazoa, Nematoda, Chromadorea, Rhabditida, Metastrongylidae.
GCGUCGGUAGUGCAACGGUUAGCAUACGCUCCCGGAAAGAGUGGACCAGGGUUCAAAUCCCGGCUGACGCA